AGGCAAGGGAAGUCGGCAAA
Molecule: small nuclear RNA, 20 nt
Filed under: Arabidopsis thaliana (thale cress)
Lineage: Eukaryota; Viridiplantae; Streptophyta; Magnoliopsida; Brassicales; Brassicaceae
Description: snRNA_12486
Source: RNAcentral